Molecule: long non-coding RNA, 1082 nt
Filed under: Daucus carota (carrot)
Lineage: Eukaryota; Viridiplantae; Streptophyta; Magnoliopsida; Apiales; Apiaceae
Description: long non-coding RNA (DCAR_LNC000915)
Source: RNAcentral
UCCCCAUUUUUAAAAAAAAAAUAGUAAAAAAUCGAUAUAAACUUAAAAGUUUAUUUUCUGAUUUUUAAAAGUUAAUUGAAACUGUAGUCUAGACUGACUCUUAAUUCCGCCUUGUAUUCAUUUUAUUACCCAACAGUUCGUGUUUAUGAAGUUUAUUUAUGCUUGUAGUCAUUGCCAUUUAUCUACAAUGACUUGUAACAGUUUCUUUAACACUCACAAAACCAAAGAAUUUAUCUUCUCAACUUCAUUAACACUUAAACAAUCCAUUGUCAAACUCAAUCUUCUCCGUUGAAGUUUCUUGAUGGGAUUACCAUUGUUGGCCCUUCUGAAACUCAAGAUCCUGGCCUCGACUUCCCAGACUCUCUCUUUCACUCCAUUGAUCACCUGUCUAGUAGGUCCAUUUGUGCUCAAAGUGCUGCUCAAUCUGAGAACCAUUCCUUCGGUUUACGACGACGUGUCGCAUGCCUCGAGGCUGUUCUUGUUCCAGGUGAACCAGAUUGUGUUCCAUAUUAGACGAGAAGAUCUCGGGGAUCGGAGCAGAUGGGAGAGGGCUAUUCGGUUGUUGUCUGAAAUUCUUGUUAGUAGUCGAAGAUCGACACCGGCUGAUGAGGCUCGCAGCUUGCAUGAUCUCUCCAUGAUAACACUCUGAUCAUCAAGCAGUAGGCACAUUUGUACGUUGUUUUCGUGUUUGUUAUGGUGCAAGUACUCGUUUUGAUUGCGAAUUUUCGGACUUCAUGUUCGUCAGUUGAUACUUGAUAUUGCUGGUUCGGUUGUAGUUUUCGAACUUGUUUAUUUUUCUGUUCAUCUUUGUUUCGAAGUGAAAAUUUCUAGUUCGAUUUUAUUACUGUGUUGUAGUACUAAUCGAUUCCAAGAAGAAAAUUCCACUGAAAUUUAUAUAAUCCUUCAGUUCUUAGCAAGAGAUAUUGAAUCCGAGAAUUAAAACAUUCUGCAUAUUUACCUAUUACUCAAAUUCUUUCAUUCUGAUCGAGGACGAGAGGGGUAUCUGCUAGACUAGCUAUCACGAAGAUCAAUAUAUAUAUGAUGUUUCGGUACUUACUAAAAGAGAUCUCAAGUGAAAGUUG